ACAUACUAAGUUCUAGUAGAUUUUAUUUAAAUGGCAAGUAUAGAAAAUAAUUUUUGCUUGGAUUCUAGUGAAACAAUAUCUUGGAGUGAAGAAAGUAAUUUUUGCUUGGGUUCUAGGGAAACAAUAUCUUGGAAUUUUGAAAAUUGCUCUUUGUUAAAUCAGGUAUUAAACAUUACUAGAAAUUUUAACUCACAAGGUUUGUACAAAUUUAUUAGGCUGCUCAACACCAUGGCUUGCAUGUACGUAGUCUCCAGUUUGAAGAUGCUCAGCAGAAAGUAGUAACAAAUAGGCAUGUACAAAACACUUCAGGUAUUGAAAAUAGUUCUAGGCCACUUGCCUCUUCUGCAGAUAGAGGGGGCCCCAAAUCACUAUCCUUGGAGACACCAUCAACUCCCAUUCGUCGGGUUGGUAUGACCCAGCAUACGGAUUAUCCUGGAAAUAGUGGGAAUUAUAGCAUAAAUUUUCCAAAGCCCGUAGGUAUUGGCUUGCACCUAAAUAGCAUUGUCAGCACUACGCAAGCAGGAACUGGAGAAACUGUAAUUGUGAAAUCAUCUGAAAAGGGUAUUUUAAGUAUACGGAAUGAGCAACAAGUGACUACUCUGAGCUCUCAUCUAUCUGAAAACUCAAAGAACUCUUCAUAUUUGUCUGUGUUGGAGAGUGUUCUCGGAAGUCCUGAUGAAAGUAGGCGUGAAAGUGAUCAUGCCUUGGUGGCAGCUAAUUCUGCUAUUUCUGUGUCCACUUAUGACGCAAAACCUUUGGACAACCCUAUGGUCUGUAAUCCAAUUGAGGAUCAAUCAACUCCAGUUAACAAGAGGAAGUCUAACGCUGGAAAUGCUGAUGAUGCAGAGGAGUUUAACAAGUCAAGCCCCAAAAGGAAGAGGCAAGCCUACAACUUAUCUUAUGAAUAAUGAGUUUUAUUAGUUGUCUCCAUUUUUACUACAUUAUUUUAGCUGCAAUUUUUCCAGGAAGAAAACACCCGAGUCCAAUGAUGAUUACAGUAGCAAACUUUGCAACUGCAAGAAGUCUAAAUGCUUGAAGCUGUAAGCGCAUAAAAUGUUUUCUUACAAAUUUAGAUUUACACUUCUAUCACGUGCUUUUGUAAUUUGUUUCCUUGUAGUUACUGUGAUUGCUUUGCUGCUGGAAUAUAUUGUGCGGAACCUUGUUCUUGCCAAGGGUGCUAUAACAGGCCUGAAUAUGAGGAUACGGUUCUAGAGACACGCCAACAAAUUGAAUCUCGCAAUCCUCUGGCAUUUGCUCCAAAGAUAGUACAGAACUUCAUUUAUCCAUCUUCAAGCAUUUGUGGGGUAUUGAGGCAUCGAAAUUUAUAAUUUUGCUGUACAACAGUGCAAUGUUAACUGAAUUAUUAAGUUGAAAUGUUCACAGGAAGAUGAGACUCAGUUAUCAAAGCCCUCCAUAAGGCACAAAAGAGGGUGCAAUUGCAAGAAGUCGAUGUGCCUCAAAAAGUACUGUGAGUGCUAUCAGGUACGUGGGUGUGCUUAUGGGCAUGAUUAUCUACGUUGUUUUUUCGUGGGGUUGGGGCUUAGAACCUCUGAGUCAUGCUAAGUACUACUUAAUUGCAUUUGCUCUUAUAAAAUGAGUUUUUUUACCUUAUGAUAGGCAAAAGUUGGUUGUUCUGAUGGAUGUCGAUGCGAAGGAUGUAAAAAUGACUAUGGCCAAAAGGGAGGUAUGAUUUGCAUUUGAAGUUCUGUUAUCACAUUGCAUGAGAUUCUACUUGUUAAUACUCAGGAGACUUGAGGAAUAGCUAUUAAUGUGUCUGAACAGGCAAAUAAGACUAUAAGAAUAUGAAUUGCUCUCUAUGGAAAUGACCUGGAGAUGCUCCCUAUAUAUCUAAGUAGAAAAAUAUGCUGCUUGCUUAGCAGGUUUAGCUUUGUUUGAACACUGUUAAAUCUGGACUAGUUUUCUUAUGUGUUUCUUAUUGCCUCUAUUUUAUUUUAUUUAUUUAUUUAUUUUUCAGUCUGUAUAAGGUUUUGAAUUUGGGGGUACCAAUGAGAGUAUAAUGACAAGUACGAAAAUAGAUAUUUUCUUGUACUCCAACAAAGUGAUAUAUAGCAAUUUUAAGUUAUUAUAAAGUAUAUCUCUGAACUUUUUGUGGUUUCAUUUCUAUUUGAACUGGAUGCUCCAUCUUUCAGAAUAUGGCAUGGAUAACGUCGUGGGCAUGCAAGGUUCUGAUGAAACAACAGAUGGCUCCUCUGUUGAAAAACUUGAAAUGGUGGGGUCUGGAAAUGCUUUGUAUCAUACUGAGCUAAGCAAUCCUCAUAAUUUGACUCCUCUGACACCAUCAUUCCAAUACUCAGAGUAAGAUUAGUUCUUUCUAGAUACAUUUCGAUUCCCAUGCACUUAAUUUCUGGUUAAAUGAUUAGCUAGGUACUUGAAAUUUGAAAUAGCUUUGUGGGCAAAUAUCUUUCCUUUUUCUCCUGAAAUUGUGCAGCCAGGGAAAAGGUGCAUCAAAAGCUUGGUUCUCUUCUGGAAAAUACUUCCAUUCACCAGAAUCUGGUCCCACCUUUGGGGCACCAUGCAUCACGUUCCCAAGGUCUCCUGGGAAUGUGUAUAAUUCUGAUAUGAUCUCAGAAUCUUCUAAAGAAAUUCUGGAUCUAGAUUCUUUUGAUCAUGAACUAGAUUACCACAAAGCAGAAGCGGUCAAUGACUUCUCAUUUGGGCACCAUGGACCUGGCAAUAAGGAGCUUCUUGCUGGUCCGCUAAAUGCAGGAGAAUCGGAAAACAAUUGGAAAGUUCAACCAUUUUCUGGAAGUGGACAUUUUUCUCCAGCAAGCUCCCUUCGUUGGCGUGGUUCACCGAUCACCCCUAUGGCUCAGUUUAGUGGGACUAAACUUCCUCAAGCUGCUGACUAUUAUGAUGGUUUACACAACAUUCUGGAAGAUGACACACCAGAGAUUCUGAAGGACACUCCUAACCCACUCAAUGCUGUGAAAGUAAGAUCUCCAAAUAAGAGGCAAGUUUCUCCCCCUCAUGAACAUUCGCUUGAGCUGGGUUCAACGUCAUCAGAAGGCCUGAGAAUUUCUCGCAAGUUCAUACUGCAAGCCGUUCCCUCAUUCCCACCUCUUACGCCUUGUGUUGAAUCUAAAAACGCUAGACAAAAAAAGACAUAAUCCGCAGAAUUGUAGCAACAACAGCAUAUGAGAUGAAGCAUAUGAGGUAAGUGUUGACAAUUACAUCGUGGGAGAAUGGAUGUUAUGCCCAGCAGGUUUUUUUGAGCAUGAUUUCACAAUGUUAUCCUGUUAUUUCACCAUUAGCACGUCUGUUUCUCUUCAGGACCUGCUCUAUACCCUCAAAUGGUUUUUCAUCCAUAUCAAUGAAAGCAACCUUUAGGUCACUAUAAUCUGCCAGGUAUAGGCAUUACUUGCAACAUGUUUGGUAGAAAGUAUUGGACAGCUUUAACAUGAUCAAGAAAGAAAAAGAUAAGAAACUAAAAUCAUUCAGGUUCAAUACUGCGGACUAAACAUGUACUUUGGAGCAUAAGCUCAAUUCAUCUUCUAAUCCUGCUUUUUAAAUGUCCUCAUUAGAAACCGAAGUUGCAACGCUUUUCGAGGCUCCAAAUACAAAAAUGAAAGAAAGCCUCAAGUAGAAUGGAAGAUUUCCAAAUGUACAGCAUCCUGUCCAACCCCCUUCAUGUUCAUACUUUCUAGAUGUUAAACAGAUGCUGCAUGCUGCUAUACUCUAUUGGUUAGGAAAAAAACAAGUCGGCCUUUUUGAUUUUCCAUGACGAUGAAUACCAUGUUCUGAGGGAAAGAGACUUGUAUUUUUUUGGCAUUUAAUUUCAAUGAGUACAUUCUCUAAUAAUAAAAUUUGAGCCUUGACUCAAGUCA
RNAcentral lists this long non-coding RNA (3845 nucleotides) under Olea europaea subsp. europaea. The record is from RNAcentral. Lineage: Eukaryota; Viridiplantae; Streptophyta; Magnoliopsida; Lamiales; Oleaceae.